CUCCUCCUUUCUCCCCUCAGAUGAUCCAAUUGGUCUGUGUUGGGCUCCAGGAAUCUGCAUUUUGAGAACUACAUCAGGUGUCUAAUCUUGGGUAAA
RNAcentral lists this microRNA precursor (96 nucleotides) under Otolemur garnettii (small-eared galago). Its description in RNAcentral is "miRNA (ENSOGAG00000021917.1)". The record is from RNAcentral. Lineage: Eukaryota; Metazoa; Chordata; Mammalia; Primates; Galagidae.